RNAcentral lists this ribosomal RNA (2825 nucleotides) under Triticum aestivum (bread wheat). RNAcentral's name for it is "partial small subunit ribosomal RNA". Lineage: Eukaryota; Viridiplantae; Streptophyta; Magnoliopsida; Poales; Poaceae. The record is from RNAcentral.
GGAAGACUCCGUCGCGGUCAGCCAGUCAUUCUCCUCCUCGUCCACUCCACCCAAGUCUGAAAAGAAGUGCACUCCGACUGCGCCGCCGUCGUCCACUGAAUCGAGUGGCUCCUCCUCCCCCACUCCCCACUCUGCCGACUAUCUCCGGGCCACGCCGCCUGGACCCGAGGACACAUUGACGAGCGAGCAGGGGAGCGGAGCGAGCGCCGGCGUCCGGCCGCUGCGUGCCGGAGAGGAGCACGGAGGCCGCGCGCAGGCGACGCCAUCGUCCUUCCACUUCCGGUGGUAAACCCGCGUGUGAUAUCUAAGAACAUGGUCACCAGAGCUGCUCAAAUGGACGGUGGUGUUCCCUUGCCUGUGUAUCUGACUAUCAGCUCCUGACGGCCCGGUGCCGCAAACAGAGGAGCAUAUUCUUCUAGCUCCGCAGGUUGGCGUGCCAUCGCUUAUUGAUGAUCCAGAGUUUAUAAGUUGGGGAGGUGGAGCUUCGAUGUGUGCUGAACUCUUCAGUUUCGUUCACUGGCUAUCAGUUUUCUAACAUCCAUGGAUCUGCCUUGUCAUCCGUGGAUGGCCAUGGUUAUCCUCCCCCUCCUCCUGCUCCUCGUGCCUCUCACCGCUGCCCAAUUGUGGCCAUCCUGUGGCGAGAGCGGCGACUACAAAUCAAAUAGCACCUACGAAGCCAACCUCAAGCUCCUCUCAACUAACCUCCCGAAGAAAGCAGCGUCAAGCACCAACCUCUUUGCCACCGACACCGUUGGCAAUGUUCCGAAUGUCAUCUUCGCCCUCGCACUCUGCCGCGGGGACUCCAACGCCUCUGCCUGCGAGGGCUGUUUGGUUACUGCCUUCCAGGACGGGCAGGUGCACUGCGCGAACUAUAAGGACGCCGCUGUGUACUAUGAUAGCGAUCCUUGCAUGCUCAGGUUCUCCAACAAGAAUUUUCUCGCCACCACCGUCAAUGAACGUAUGCUCGUCAUUGUGAGCAUCGAGAGCUUGAUGGUGAACAUCUCGACAAGAGCCGACUCCUUCAGGCUCAUGUUGUUCACGCUUCUGAACAGCACGGCUCAAUCGGCCGCGAACAGCUCGAGGAGAUUCACUACCUCGCGCUUAGAUGUCAGCGUCAGCUCCUUGCCUACGCUCUACUGCCUUAUGCAGUGCACGCCAGACCUGACCGCCGAUGAGUGCACGGCAUGUUUGCAGCCUUACCUCCAGUAUACACUCAAAUACAUGGAUGGUAAGAAAGGUGGUCGAGUACUGGGGACACGGUGUAGCAUGAGGUACGAGAUAUUUCCAUUCUUCCAAGAGGACCCCAUGCUGCGUAUUAUCAACUUAGCACCUGAAGUUCCACCGAUCAACAGCACCAUGCCACUGAUUACCGUGAACCCACCCCCGCAGCCGCAGUCACAGUCGCCGGUUGCGGCGGCACUUCAUGGACGCAAUUCACGCCGGAGGGCGCUCUGGAUUAUCGCUGCGGCAGCUCCAUUACUGUCAAUAUUUCUGUGUGCUAUCCUUUUUGUUGUAUGGAUAAGAAGACGAAGAAAAGGAACGGAAAUCUUACACGAUCAAGCUGCCGCGAAUAGGCCGGAAGAAGAUGAAUUGGUUUGGAGAUUGGAAGAGAAGAGUUCAGAGUUCACUUUGUUUGACUUAUCUGAGAUAUUGCAUGCUACACACGACUUCUCCAAAGAAAACCUACUUGGGCAAGGUGGUUUCGGCCCUGUCUACAAGAUGUGAGCCGAACAACUUUGGUUGAUUGGAACAAAAGAUGUGUGAUAAUCGAAGGGAUAGCCCAAGGUCUACUUUAUCUCCACAAGCACUCUCGGCUGCGCAUCAUACACAGAGACCUUAAGGCCAGUAACAUUCUCUUGGACCAGGAAAUGAAUCCUAAAAUUUCUGAUUUUGGGCUAGCAAAAAUUUUCAGCUCCAAUGAUACUCAAGGAAGCACAAAGAAGGUGGUGGGAACAUAUGGUUAUAUGGCUCCGGAGUAUGCAUCUGAAGGCAUUUACUCGAUCAAAUCUGACGUGUUCAGCUUUGGUGUGUUACUUCUCGAGAUCAUUAGCGGACAAAGGAAUUCUGGUUUCCAUCAGCACGAAGACUUUCUUAACCUCCUUGGAUAUUCAUGGCAGCUCUGGGAAGGAGGAAGAUGUUUUGAGCUUCUAGAAGCAUCAAUUGCCAAGGAGAUCCACGCAGCUGAGGCUAGGGAGUACAUUAACAUUGCACUAAUGUGCGUACAAGAGCACGCAGAUGAUCGACCGACCAUGUCAAAUGUCGUUGCGAUGUUAAACAGCGAGAGUUUUAUUCUUCCAGAGCCUAAACAUCCAGCAUACUUCAGCCUAAGGGUAUCUAAGGUAGAUGAAUCGGGUAAUAAUGACGUAACCGUCUGCAGUAAUAACGACUUAACCAUCACUGAGGAGCCAGAUGGCAGAUAGUUGAUCACUUUGCUUCAGUUGUUAAUGGAAGUGCUAGCAAUCAGACAGCAGGCAGACAGACCAGGUCAAGUGAACUAGGGCAGACCAAGUAAGCCUAUCAUAUUUUGGUUAUGAAGGAUGGCGACCGGCGCAUCUCUGUAGCCGUUUUUCGGUCCUGCGGUGAAUGAAGCUCUGCCGGUAUGCAUAGGCUGUAUUGAUAUGCAGGUUAAUACUGCAUUUAGCUUUUGUGCACCGCACCAUCAUUUUCCACUGGUGGCUGCUGCUGUAGACUUUAAAGGAAGACUUUAAAAGAGGACUUGAAAUCCAAAGGAUUUCAAUUUGACAGAAUCCUGCUGGGUAAAGUAUUUGUUGCAUCUAUACGCGCCUUUCAUGUUUUCCUGAAAGUUAAUUCCAUUGACAUGCCAG